RNAcentral lists this ribosomal RNA (490 nucleotides) under uncultured bacterium. RNAcentral describes it as "partial 16S ribosomal RNA". It matches the Rfam family "Bacterial small subunit ribosomal RNA", at positions 29 to 507 of the family's 1533-position model. The record is from RNAcentral.
AAUGAACGCUGGCGGCAUGCCUUACACAUGCAAGUCGAACGGCAGCAUGACCUAGCUUGCUAGGUUGAUGGCGAGUGGCGAACGGGUGAGUAAUGCAUCGGAACGUGCCUUUUAGUGGGGGAUAACGUAGCGACAGUUACGCUAAUACCGCAUAUUCUCUGAGGAGGAAAGCAGGGAGCCUUCGGGCCUUGCGCUAGAAGAGCGGCCGAUGUCGGAUUAGCUAGUUGGUGAGGUAAAGGCUCACCAAGGCAACGAUCCGUAGCGGGUCUGAGAGGAUGACCCGCCACACUGGGACUGAGACACGGCCCAGACUCCUACGGGAGGCAGCAGUGGGGAAUUUUGGACAAUGGGCGCAAGCCUGAUCCAGCCAUGCCGCGUGAGUGAAGAAGGCCUUCGGGUUGUAAAGCUCUGUCGGCUGGGAAGAAAUCGCACUCUCUAAUACAGGGUGUGGAUGACGGUACCAGCAUAAGAAGCACCGGCUAACUACGUG